This 1149-nucleotide long non-coding RNA is filed under the name Salmo salar (Atlantic salmon). RNAcentral's name for it is "lncRNA (ENSSSAG00000115240.1)". Lineage: Eukaryota; Metazoa; Chordata; Actinopteri; Salmoniformes; Salmonidae. The record is from RNAcentral.
GCACCAUAACGUUGGAUGCCAAUGCCGAUAAACCCCACUGAAGAAGAAGAAUGGGUCUUCCAGGGCAGAAGAGUCGAGCUGCGUGGUUGUUCGCAUGAGGUUCCUUGAUUGGUGAAGCGUGUAGAGUUUAUCCAUAGUUCGGGGAAUGGAAAAUGGCGGAGAGUAGUGCGGACGAAAUUGAGGAAAAGUUGGUGAAGCAACAGCUGUGCUGGAAUGCGAACAAAGUGUCAGUUCUGAUGUCAUGGAGCGGGAGGACGAGGGUCAAGGACCGGAAUGGCCGGUAGUGGAAAGACAUAGGAAGAAGAGAGAUCAUGAUACAGAAAGCAGUGGAGCGUCUAGUAAAGAAAGCAUAAAGAGGACCAAGAAACAUUGCUCAGAUCUUGCCCCCUGGACCUUGGAGGACUUUUGGUGUGGAUGAUGAUCAGGGCCUACCAAAGCAAGGUUUGUUUUGAUGACGAUACUGAAAGCAAAAUGCACUGUGAACUGGUGUAAUUGGGAUGGACGGGGAAGACCGCAUUACAACCCUUCAAGUGCUACGGUUGUAUGAUGGCCUGGAUGAAGAGGAAAAUAUUCUCCUCAAGGAACCAUUCAUGUUGUCGUUACAGAGAGAUUAUGAGAUGUUCUAUGUGGAGGCAGUUGACGACAAGAAAAUUACUGUCUUUGCCCAUUUUGAAGAGCAGGAGUGAAGCAAUUUUAUAGGAGUGUUCAAACCUUAUUUUUGUCUGCUGUGUUAAUUGUGUUCUGUUGUUUAGUAAAGAUGACGUAGAAGUCACCCGAGUCUCUGAACUCUUUACUGGAGCUGGUAUAACUUAAUGUACAAAGCACAUUCAGCUUGUCCAUAUGGUAUAGUCUGUCUCCAUUCUCAUGAGGAAAGUAAAUGGCAUUAUAAAUCAGGAUAGGUAGUAACUGUGUGUGUAUGUGUAUAUAUACAUACACACACACACACACAAUUUUAACACUACAUGACAUGCAUAAGUCUGUUCACUGCAACAAUAUCAGUAGCUUGUCUCAAAUAAGUGUUACAACUCAUGUGCUGGUACCACUUUAUAUAAUAUUGCUUACAAUCUUCAAAAAUGAAAUACGUUUGUAUUCAACAUGUGCCUUGCACAAACAUGUGUGUUUGUCAAAGCUCACACAAAAAACGGUGGG